Molecule: ribosomal RNA, 433 nt
Filed under: uncultured bacterium
Lineage: Bacteria
Description: partial 16S ribosomal RNA
Rfam family: Bacterial small subunit ribosomal RNA
Source: RNAcentral
AACGAACGCUGGCGGCAUGCCUAACACAUGCAAGUCGAACGAGACCUCCGGGUCUAGUGGCGCACGGGUGCGUAAAGCGUGGGAACCUGCCCUUAGGUUCGGAAUAACUCCCCGAAAGGGGUGCUAAUACCGGGUAAUGUCUUCGGACCAAAGAUUUAUCGCCUUUGGAUGGGCCCGCGUUGGAUUAGCUAGUUGGUAGGGUAAAAGCCUACCAAGGCGACGAUCCAUAGCUGGUCGGAGAGGAUGAUCAGCCACACUGGGACUGAGACACGGCCCAGACGCCUACGAGAGGCAGCAGUGGGGAAUAUUGGACAAUGGGCGAAAGCCUGAGCCAGCAAGGCCGGGUGAGUGAUGAAGGCGUUAUGGUUGUAAAGCUCUUUUACCCGGGAUGAUAAUGACAGUACCGGGAGAAUAAGCACCGGCUAACUCCGUG